GAUCACGGCUCAGGAUGAACGCUAGCUACAGGCUUAACACAUGCAAGUCGAGGGGCAGCAUGGUCUUAGCUUGCUAAGGCCGAUGGCGACCGGCGCACGGGUGAGUAACACGUAUCCAACCUGCCGUCUACUCUUGGACAGCCCUCUGAAAGGAAGAUUAAUACAAGAUGGCAUCAUGAGUCCGCAUGUUCACAUGAUUAAAGGUAUUCCGGUAGACGAUGGGGA
RNAcentral lists this ribosomal RNA (225 nucleotides) under uncultured bacterium. Its description in RNAcentral is "partial 16S ribosomal RNA". It matches the Rfam family "Bacterial small subunit ribosomal RNA", at positions 15 to 231 of the family's 1533-position model. The record is from RNAcentral.